This 450-nucleotide ribosomal RNA is filed under the name uncultured bacterium. RNAcentral's name for it is "partial 16S ribosomal RNA". It matches the Rfam family "Bacterial small subunit ribosomal RNA", at positions 354 to 796 of the family's 1533-position model. The record is from RNAcentral.
GCUAAGAAUAUUCCGCAAUGGACGAAAGUCUGACGGAGCGACGCCGCGUGGAUGAAGAAGGCCGAAAGGUUGUAAAGUUCUUUUGUUGGGGAAGAAUAACCAUGGUAGGGAAUGCCCGUGGGAUGACAUGAACCGACGAAUAAGCCCCGGCUAACUACGUGCCAGCAGCCGCGGUAACACGUAGGGGGCGCGCGUUGUUCGGAAUUACUGGGCGUAAAGGGCAUGUAGGCGGUCUUGUAAGCGGGGCGUGAAAGACCACGGCUCAACCGUGGGAUUGCGAUGAGAACUGGGAGGCUUGAGUGACGGAGAGGGAGCUAGAAUUCCUGGUGUAGGGGUGGAAUCUGUAGAGAUCAGGAAGAAUACCAAUGGCGAAGGCAAGCUCCUGGCCGAUGACUGACGCUGAGGUGCGAAAGUGUGGGGAUCAAACAGGAUUAGAUACCCUUGUAGUCC